UACAGAGGUGGCAAGCGUUGUUCGGAUUUACUGGGCGUAAAGGGUGCGUAGGUUGUUUCGUGUGUCGGACGUGAAAUGCCACGGCUUAACUGUGGAAUUGCAUUCGAAACUGCGAAGCUAGAGUGCGGGAGAGGAGAGCGGAAUUCUUGGUGUAGCGGUGAAAUGCGUUGAUAUCAAGAAGAACACCGGUAGCGAAGGCGGCUCUCUGGAACGCAACUGACGCUGAGGCACGAAAGCUGGGGGAG
This 245-nucleotide ribosomal RNA is filed under the name uncultured bacterium. RNAcentral's name for it is "partial 16S ribosomal RNA". It matches the Rfam family "Bacterial small subunit ribosomal RNA", at positions 524 to 768 of the family's 1533-position model. The record is from RNAcentral.